GAAGGGACUCUUAUCACCCUGAAUGCACUCGAUCUUGUGAGAUCUUAGUAGCUUAGCAGGUUUAAGCCUGGUUUGUACUUGGAUAGGAGAUUGCCUGGGAUUAGGACCUGUAGGCUUUU
RNAcentral lists this ribosomal RNA (119 nucleotides) under Petromyzon marinus (sea lamprey). Lineage: Eukaryota; Metazoa; Chordata; Hyperoartia; Petromyzontiformes; Petromyzontidae. The record is from RNAcentral.